RNAcentral lists this ribosomal RNA (465 nucleotides) under uncultured bacterium. RNAcentral describes it as "partial 16S ribosomal RNA". It matches the Rfam family "Bacterial small subunit ribosomal RNA", at positions 338 to 795 of the family's 1533-position model. The record is from RNAcentral.
CCUACGGGAGGCAGCAGUGGGGAAUAUUGCGCAAUGGGCGAAAGCCUGACGCAGCGACGCCGCGUGAGGGAUGAAGGUCUUCGGAUCGUAAACCUCUGUCAGCAGGGAAGAACGGUCACUGUGCUAAUCAACAGUGAAUUGACGGUACCUGCAAAGGAAGCACCGGCUAACUCCGUGCCAGCAGCCGCGGUAAUACGGAGGGUGCGAGCGUUAAUCGGAAUUACUGGGCGUAAAGCGCUCGUAGGCGGUAUGUCAAGUCAAGGGUGAAAUCCCCGCGCUCAACGUGGGAACUGCCUUUGAAGCUGGCAAACUGGAGUGUGUGAGAGGAUAGUGGAAUUCCAGGUGUAGGAGUGAAAGCCGUAGAUAUCUGGAGGAACAUCAGUGGCGAAGGCGACUAUCUGGCACAUAACUGACGCUGAGGAGCGAAAGCGUGGGUAGCAAACAGGAUUAGAUACCCUGGUAGUC